Molecule: long non-coding RNA, 699 nt
Organism: Homo sapiens (human)
Lineage: Eukaryota; Metazoa; Chordata; Mammalia; Primates; Hominidae
Product: long intergenic non-protein coding RNA 1828
Source: Ensembl
CGGCCUUUGGUGCAGCUGUAAGUCGGAUGGAAUCCACCUUCCUGACGUCAGACCCACCCACUGGAACACUGCUCCUCUGACUGGGGCUUCCCUGAAUGGAAACUACAUGUCAUACUGCAAAGUUCCAGAUAGAUUUCAUCACUCAAGAUAAGCAAAUGAACCACAGAAUUUUGAAGUUAGAGGUAAUUACAGCAAUGAUCUUAGCCAGCCCCCAUACAUUUUGGGACACACAGGUUCAGGACUGCCUGCCCUGGAGCUGAUUCCAUAAGAUACCCAGUCUGUGAUCAAAUUUUGUUCCACACCCAAUAUCAGACAACAUGUGCACAUCUUGGACAAGACUAUUGGGGUCUGUGAGGGGAAAUCCCUGCCAGAGCCCCUCAUUAUCAUAUUUUUAUUUCAUUCCUAAGAACAACUUCUGAAAGAGAAAAAAGUCUUUGUCUCAGUUUCUGCUCUCCAGAGGUAACCCAAAGGUAAAAGGUAAGGAACCCAGUGAGAAAGACAGAGAGAAGUAUGGACAAGAAACAGAUCCUAAACCUGUUUUGUUUUAUUUUUGGUAGUAGUUGUUUAUUUUUGAAAACAUUCAAACCACCUGUAUUGGUGGCUGUUAUUAUGAAAUAAAUAAACUGAGAAACAACAAGACAAUUUGGCCUCUACAAUUUGUUUAGUUUUGACUAAGUAUUUGCCUUGGAAGAAGUAUGU